RNAcentral lists this long non-coding RNA (5231 nucleotides) under Oryza sativa (Asian cultivated rice). RNAcentral's name for it is "long non-coding RNA (OSAT_LNC001131)". Lineage: Eukaryota; Viridiplantae; Streptophyta; Magnoliopsida; Poales; Poaceae. The record is from RNAcentral.
ACUGAUUUGUGCAUAAAAUCCUCGUCCAGGAAUCAGCCGAGGUACACAAACUGACAAUUUAAUAUACAAAUCCAUCAUAAUAACUAAACCGAUAAAUACUUACUUAAGAGGCACUUAGUCCUCACCAAGAAGAAAACUGCAGCGGAAAAAUAAAAUCUAGCGAAGCUCCGGCUCCACUCCCACAGGCAGCUCAACUGGGGUAUAAGCCAAACGUCUUCUCCUUCUGGAUCCUUUUUCUUCAACUGAGGUUGAUUGAUUAUUGCAAGAAUGAGCAUAUGACAUACUCAACAAGCCACACAGCAAGUAUGCAAGUGCACAAGGAUACCAAAGGAUGGCAUAAUAUAGGCUCAUUUGCGAAAGCAGCAUUUAGCAAAGAGUUAAGAGUAGUAAAACAGUAGAGUAAUUAAUCAGAAAUUUUAAUCAACACUGAACAACACACCCAUGCUGCACAGGCCCAACCAUCCUGAACAACCAUACCCGGCUGAACAGAUCUAACUCCAAACCAGGAGCUAAGCAAAUUAUUACCAGGUAUAACAUCCAUAAUUAUUGUGAGAGAUGUGAGACUAAUCACGAAAAACAUUGCUCAACUCGCCCAUAACCGCGGGCACGGCUAUUCGAAUAGUUUUACUCUGGCCAGAGGUGUACCACUGUACCCACAAGACACGAUUCCACACAUGUUGCCAUGCCCCGAAAUACCACCACGGCAUUGCAAAGGGGAAAUCGUGACAAUACCCUUUGCACAACACAACUCAAAACAGUGCACCGUUCCUGGAUCAUAAUCACCCCCUUAUAAACAAGGCAUGGACUCCCCAGCGACCCCCAUGGACUUCUCGCCACUUCUCAGUCUGGCGCACUAUAAUGAAUCACGCUAUACAAAAGAUAAAGCCGUUGCCCAUGCUGGCUUGUGGUUGGCACGAUAAAUGUUUCACAACAGUAGCUCGCGAACCGGUCCUUAAUUGCCAUGAGCACGACCUUCAAAACCAUGUGCUCACAACCCACCAUUAAUCAUAUUUUAAAUACCAAUUAAUUAUCAUAACACGAUUAACCAUCGUGAGCUACCAUUAAAUAUAACCAUAAAUAAUAAUGUAGUAUAUAUGAUUCAUCCCAUUAGUGAGCUAAUGUUUCUAAGCAUUGCUAAGCAAUUAUAUAUAUAUAACAUUUAGCUGAACCAAACCAAUACAUAAGGUUCAAGCUAAUCAAUUUAUUACCCAAGGUAUCAAGGAAUAGGAUAUUCAAUGCAAAUUGGCCAUAACAAAGGAAUUGGUUCACACCACCCGGUGACAUUCGAAAAUAAAUGCACAGUUGAAACAAAUAGAGAAUUUAAAUAUAGGAUCAACAUGCUCAAAGGAUUGUGUUUAGGAUCUGUGUGACUUGCCUUGCAAUAAUCGGUCUUCAAUUAAUCUUCUUGAUCACUUCCGACGCACUCACGAACCUUCGCAACGACGGAAACGACAAGCUAACACGCAAAACGAAGAAAAAGACUAAUAAAAACCAAAUAAACAGUACAUAAAAAGUAAACAAACAUGUAAAUCAUAAUUUUAGAUGAAUUAUGAGACUUGAACGGCCUCAUUCUGACUUCAAAUGAAUUUAUUAUGAAUUUUACAAGAUUAAAUCUAAUUAAAGCCCAUUUAAAAAGAAUUAAAUAAAUUUAAUUCAAUUUAUGGACAAUUUUAAUAUGUAGAUCUUUAUUUUAGAAAAAAUUUAGCAACUUGAACCACUCGAAACGGAUCUACGGUUAUUUAGAUAUGAUUUUCAGAAGAUUUAAUCUACGGGAAAAAGAAAAACCGAUGACGUCAGCAUGACGUCAUCCAUGGCCGGCCCGGGUUGGCGACCUCGCCGGAGAUUGGAUGGUCGGCUGCGACUUUGGAGGACAUGUACACGUAGAGGACGACGAGACGAACCCAACGGUACUCACCACGACGACAAACGACGAACAAUGACGGCCGGCGACGAGGAGGACGGCGGCGGCGGCUCGGUCGGCGGUGGCGGCGGAGCUCCGGUGACCGGCGACGACGGGGAGAGGGCGGCCGAGGUUCCUCACCUCCGUGCGCACCUAACGGCAGCGAGGGGAAGCGACGGCGACGGCGGAAUCGACGGCGCGACCUCGCCGAAGGUUGGCCGGCGGCGGCGGCGGGUUGGGUGGUGUGGCGGCGGCGCUACAAGGCACGAGAGACCACGGGAGAGGGGGCAAGCGAAAGAGGAGGACUAGGGGGUGCUUUAUAUAGGCUUGGAUUGAAGAGAUCGGACUCCAAACGAGAGGAAUCGAAGCCGGAAAACAAAAUCUCGGUUUUGGAGAUAAACUCGAAAACGAGUUUGAUUUGGAUAAAAUACCCAACGAUUUGCUCCGAUUCUUGGGGGAAAAGAUAGAGGAGGAUGAGAGGAUCAAAACCCCUCAAAAAUCCGGAAGAAACGGGGUCAGAUUGGGUGGGAUUUGGAGGCGGAAAGGCGAUGCGGCGCGCAGCUCGGGCUCUGUCCAGACUGCAGGCUGAAGGUUAGGGACGACACUGUAGCAGGGAGGAAAAAUAGACUUUUCCGGCUUCCUUUUUCCUUGCUUGGGCUGACUGAGAGAGAGGGAGAUCAAACAGACUUUGGAGAGAGAGAGGAGGGCGGCUCGGCUGGGCCGAUUGGGCCGGCUUGGCCGCGCGCGGGAAGAGAAGAGUUGGGCCGAAAUCGGCCCAACGACUUAGGGGAAGAUUUAAAAACUUUUUCCAAUUAAAAUAAUCACUUAAAUGAUCUUUCAAUUGUUAAAAAUACUUCCAAUGCUCAAAUAAUUCCAAGAAAAAUCCUGAAAAUACUUGGACACUAAAAGUACUUAACAAAAUUAUAAUUAGACCAUUUAAUGAUUAAUUUAAUAUUUAAAUAAUUGCUGAACUUCUCUUUGUAUGAUUAAAAAAAUUAAUAAUUGAGCUCCGAAAAAUCCGAGAAAAUUCCAGAGAGUAUAAUUAACCAUGGAGAAUUUAAUAAAAAUUAAAUCCAUCCAUGCUUUAUAUUUGGGAAAUUUUAUUUCCCACAUUUAACUUCACUUGUAAAUUAAUGAACAUUUAAUAUAAAUUCUAUUAAUAAUUUAUUAAAUAAUUUAUAAAUCCUGAAACAAAAAUCAGGAUGUGACAACCAUCGAACGAAGAUGGGUGAAUUAUUUGAGCAAUUUACAAGAUGACUGACUAAACUGCACCCACCUCAUAAGUUGUGAUACCAACGCUGCAUUUUACUCAGGGGAUUAUCAAACCCGAUUACAGUAUUUUAGGGUGCCUCUAAUACCCAUCUAUACAUAUAGAUACGCUGCUAGUAUAAGAUAAGAGGAUAGAAGAAAAGAUUUUUUUACACGCUUAGUUUCCUAAUGUGUUCGAUGUGGGUAACACCGUAACAACCUUAAUACUAUAGGAUCGCACAAGACCAAACAAACCUACCAGAGGGGGGAGUGAAUGGUAAGAAAAACCAAAAACCCAAAAUCUUUUGUGGAAUUAAAGAUUACCCUUGAACGAAGUCGAUGACGAAGUCCAGUCGCCGCCGGUCGAACCGCCUUCCUGCCACCGGUCAGACCGCCGAAGCCUCGCCGGUCAGACCGCCCGGAUACUUGCGGUCAGACCGCCGCUAUCCCACCAGUCAGACCGCGCACACACCUACGGUUAGACCGUUGGGACCCAGAAACAAUGGUAGAUGAUAAACUCGAAGAUGUAGAUUGAAACUUUUUGACUUUAUUGCAUCAACUAGUAUUUACAAAGUGCACCAAUAGCACUCCUCACCAAAAUCUCAAACUAAACUCGAAACCCUAACUCUCUAUCAACUCUAGUCUCUCUAAAACCGAUACCAGGAGGCCUCACCCUCUCUCUCUAUUUAUACAUGAGGUAGACUGUGCAAAGCCCACGAAUCUAUUACAACUUAGAACUCCUAACCCACGUAGCAAACCCUCUCUUGCAAGUAUACAACUCAUCUCUUUCCUUAUCUCAAUCAAACUUCCCGAAUUCGGACUCCUUUCCAAAUUCGACUCCUCUUUCCAUACGUACACAACCCCUCUUGUAUACCAUAUGGAUUUCUUCAUCACCACGUGCAUUGUCCUCUAACCUUUAGUAUCCCGCAUGAUCUCUUGAUCCCUGGACAUCAACUUCUCCCAAGUUGACUCCGAUCUAUUACCGGCAACACUCUGCCGAGGCCUCAAGCAACACCUACACAUGCAACAACCAAGAAACCAUAUUCCGAGCCCAAGUUCGUUCCAACUUGACUCACAUUAGUAUAACAACAGUAUCCAUACGCAUAGAAACCAUCUAGAAGCCAAAUCCCCGAAGGAAAUAUCCAAAUCCAACAAAACAAUCCGAAACCGACAUCGAUCAGGAUCCUGCGGGUCAGAUCGUUGGGCCGACCGGUCUGAUCGCCGCAACACCUGCAGUCUGACUGGCGGCACACGACCGGUCUGACCGCCAGGGUCAACCGAAACUGUACACUUCACAAAAUCAACCAUCUAUAAAAUCUCCAAAUUAACAUUAGCAAACCACCAAUAUUUUCAUCAUAAAAUCUAAAUCAACUCCUUGAUUUUACAAAUACUUGUAUAAAUUAAUCUAGGACAUAUCAUAUCAAGUAUAAGGGGUAGCAGGCUUAGCUAAUUUGGCCACCAAACUAACCUUGAUGGGCAAAGCAAUGGGUUUGCAGUCAAUGGCUAACGAAAAAGCUUCUUCCUGGUGUGAACUCAAUGUGGUGUGAUUUCGAAUUUAGGUCCUAAAUUUAUAUCAGAACAUGACCUCUCGUCAAGGUAAAACUCAAGAUCCAAAUAGGAGACCUUAUAAUCACCGUGCUGGACUACCUAGUCAUUCCUUAAGUGGAUGGGAUUUCCUGGUCCUCUCUUAGGGCAUUCACAGUGGGUUGAGUUGGCAUUCAGCCUUAUCGAUCCUCAACAAAUAUUGUGUGCCACGUUUGUGUCACGCCCGAAAAUUCACUAGUAAUUUCCGAACUUAUUUGUGCAUAAAAUCCUCGUCCAGGAAUCAGCCGAGGUACACAAACUGACAAUUUAAUAUACAGAUUCAUCAAAUUAACUAAAACGAUAAAUACUUACUUAUGAGGCACUUAGUCCUCAUCAUGAAGAAAACUGCAGCGGAAAAUAAAAUCUAGCGAAGCUCCGGCUCCACUCCCACAGGCAGCUCAACUGGGGUAUAAGCCAAACGUCUUCUCCUUCUGGAUUCUUUUUCUUCAACUGAGGUUGAUUGAUUAUUGCAAGGUGAGCAUAUGACAUACUCAGCAAG